Molecule: long non-coding RNA, 613 nt
Organism: Ficedula albicollis (Collared flycatcher)
Lineage: Eukaryota; Metazoa; Chordata; Aves; Passeriformes; Muscicapidae
Exons: 3
Source: RefSeq, a predicted model, not a curated record
UUGGCUUGAUCUUCACAUUUUUCAUUAAUAGCCCAGAAGAGGGAGUAAACAACGUGUUUAUGGAAUUUAGAUGUCAAAAUGAGGAGAAUUGUGGAUGUCAGAGCUAGAAGAGAGAAGAUUGCUGCCCACAGUGAGCCUGGACCAGGAGCGUCAAUCAGAACCUGCAACUCUCCAACCCAAAGUGCUGGAUGUGGAUUAGGAAAAUCAGAAAAGUGAAUUGUUUCAAAGGCUCAGCUGAUCUCAGAGAUGCUUCCGCUCUGAGCUGUGAACUCAACCUGACCAAGAUCAAAACCUGAGAUGUUCACAUCUGGAGCAGAGCUUUUGAGACGCCUUACCUGAGAGCAGGGGCUGAUCCAAGCCCUUCUCCAAACUCUUCCCCAGUGCUGUUCCUGGCUGGUGCCUGCAGCAGUUCUACAAGGUGAAAGGUGCAACAAUAAAGCUUUAAAAAUACCAGAGAAAUGAGAAUUAGCAGCAUCAGCAUCACCAGAACUUGCCAUAACAACUUUCACCAGAAGUUCGUCUGGAAAACUGACAAAAUUCACUUCAGCUCUGCUCUGAGGAGGGGUUUGAUCAUCCAAGUGAGGCACUGACUUGUGCAAGCCCUUAAAAUAAA